GUAUGAUAGAGGAAAGCAGAAUUUCUAGUGUAGAGGUGAAAUUCGUAGAUAUUAGAAAGAAUACCAAUUGCGAAGGCAGCUUUCUGGAUCAUUACUGACACUGAGGAACGAAAGCAUGGGUAGCGAAGAGGAUUAGAUACCCUCGUAGUCCAUGCCGUAAACGAUGUGUGUUAGACGUUGGAAAUUUAUUUUCAGUGUCGCAGCGAAAGCGAUAAACACACCGCCUGGGGAGUACGACCGCAAGGUUAAAACUCAAAUGAAUUGACGGGGACCCGCACAAGUAGUGGAGCAUGUGGUUUAAUUCGAAGAUACGCGCAGAACCUUACCAACACUUGACAUGUUCGUCGCGACUCUAAGAGAUUAGAGUUUUCGGUUCGGCCGGACGAAACACAGGUGCUGCAUGGCUGUCGUCAGCUCGUGUCGUGAGAUGUUGGGUUAAGUCCCGCAACGAGCGCAACCCUCACUUUUAGUUGCCAUCAUUAAGUUGGGCACUCUGAAAGAACUGCCAGUGAUAAGCUGGAGGAAGGUGGGGAUGACGUCAAGUCCUCAUGGCCCUUACGUGUUGGGCUACACACGUGCUACAAUGGUAUCUACAACAGGAAGCAAGACUGCGAAGUUAAGCAAAUCCCUAAAAGAUACCUCAGUUCGGAUUGCACUCUGCAACUCGAGUGCAUGAAGCUGGAAUUACUAGUAAUCGUGGAUCAGCGUGCCACGGUGAAUGCGUUCCCGGGUCUUGUACACACCGCCCGUCACACCAUGGGAGUUGGUUCUACCUUAAGGCAAGGUUUAAAACCCUUGACCACGGUAUAGUCAGCGACUGGGGUGAAGUCGUAACAAGGUAGCCGUAGGGGAACCUGCGGCUG
RNAcentral lists this ribosomal RNA (863 nucleotides) under marine metagenome. Its description in RNAcentral is "bacterial SSU rRNA". It matches the Rfam family "Bacterial small subunit ribosomal RNA", at positions 646 to 1520 of the family's 1533-position model. The record is from RNAcentral.